CAGCCGCCACGGGAAUACAGAGGGUGCGAGCGUUAAUCGGAUUUACUGGGCGUAAAGCGUGCGUAGGCGGCUAAUUGAGUCGGAUGUGAAAUCCCCGAGCUUAACUUGGGAAUUGCAUUCGAUACUGGUUAGCUAGAGUGUGGGAGAGGAUGGUAGAAUUCCAGGUGUAGCGGUGAAAUGCGUAGAGAUCUGGAGGAAUACCUAUGGCGAAGGCAGCCAUCUGGCCUAACACUGACGCUGAGGUACGAAAGCAUGGGGAGCAAACAGGAUUAGAUACCCGCGUAGUCCCUGUCUCUUAUAC
RNAcentral lists this ribosomal RNA (301 nucleotides) under uncultured bacterium. RNAcentral's name for it is "partial 16S ribosomal RNA". It matches the Rfam family "Bacterial small subunit ribosomal RNA", at positions 509 to 807 of the family's 1533-position model. The record is from RNAcentral.